Molecule: ribosomal RNA, 875 nt
Filed under: Staphylococcus warneri
Lineage: Bacteria; Bacillati; Bacillota; Bacilli; Caryophanales; Staphylococcaceae
Description: bacterial SSU rRNA
Rfam family: Bacterial small subunit ribosomal RNA
Source: RNAcentral
CAGUCGAGCGAACAGAUAAGGAGCUUGCUCCUUUGACGUUAGCGGCGGACGGGUGAGUAACACGUGGAUAACCUACCUAUAAGACUGGGAUAACUUCGGGAAACCGGAGCUAAUACCGGAUAACAUAUUGAACCGCAUGGUUCAAUAGUGAAAGGCGGCUUUGCUGUCACUUAUAGAUGGAUCCGCGCCGUAUUAGCUAGUUGGUAAGGUAACGGCUUACCAAGGCAACGAUACGUAGCCGACCUGAGAGGGUGAUCGGCCACACUGGAACUGAGACACGGUCCAGACUCCUACGGGAGGCAGCAGUAGGGAAUCUUCCGCAAUGGGCGAAAGCCUGACGGAGCAACGCCGCGUGAGUGAUGAAGGUCUUCGGAUCGUAAAACUCUGUUAUCAGGGAAGAACAAAUGUGUAAGUAACUGUGCACAUCUUGACGGUACCUGAUCAGAAAGCCACGGCUAACUACGUGCCAGCAGCCGCGGUAAUACGUAGGUGGCAAGCGUUAUCCGGAAUUAUUGGGCGUAAAGCGCGCGUAGGCGGUUUUUUAAGUCUGAUGUGAAAGCCCACGGCUCAACCGUGGAGGGUCAUUGGAAACUGGAAAACUUGAGUGCAGAAGAGGAAAGUGGAAUUCCAUGUGUAGCGGUGAAAUGCGCAGAGAUAUGGAGGAACACCAGUGGCGAAGGCGACUUUCUGGUCUGUAACUGACGCUGAUGUGCGAAAGCGUGGGGAUCAAACAGGAUUAGAUACCCUGGUAGUCCACGCCGUAAACGAUGAGUGCUAAGUGUUAGGGGGUUUCCGCCCCUUAGUGCUGCAGCUAACGCAUUAAGCACUCCGCCUGGGGAGUACGACCGCAAGGUUGAAACUCAAAGGAAUUGACG